Molecule: ribosomal RNA, 588 nt
Filed under: uncultured bacterium
Lineage: Bacteria
Description: bacterial SSU rRNA
Rfam family: Bacterial small subunit ribosomal RNA
Source: RNAcentral
CGGGGUAACGGCCCACCAAAGCGACGAUCAGUAGCCGCCCUGAGAGGGUGAACGGCCACAUUGGGACUGAGACACGGCCCAAACUCCUACGGGAGGCAGCAGUGGGGAAUAUUGCACAAUGGGGGAAACCCUGAUGCAGCGACGCCGCGUGAGUGAAGAAGUAUCUCGGUACGUAAAGCUCUAUCAGCAGGGAAGAAAAUGACGGUACCUGACUAAGAAGCCCCGGCUAACUACGUGCCGGCAGCCGCGGUAAUACGUAGGGGGCAAGCGUUAUCCGGAUUUACUGGGUGUAAAGGGAGCGUAGACGGCAGCGCAAGUCUGGAGUGAAAUGCCGGGGCCCAACCCCGGAACUGCUUUGGAAACUGUGCAGCUCGAGUGCAGGAGAGGUAAGCGGAAUUCCUAGUGUAGCGGUGAAAUGCGUAGAUAUUAGGAGGAACACCAGUGGCGAAGGCGGCUUACUGGACUGUAACUGACGUUGAGGCUCGAAAGCGUGGGGAGCAAACAGGAUUAGAUACCCUGGUAGUCCACGCCGUAAACGAUGAUUACUAGGUGUCGGGGGGCCAAGGCCCUCCGGUGCCGCCGCAAACG